This is a long non-coding RNA of Bos taurus (domestic cattle), 1559 nucleotides long. Lineage: Eukaryota; Metazoa; Chordata; Mammalia; Artiodactyla; Bovidae. The record is from Ensembl.
AAACAUUCCAGUAGGGAAACAGUUCACUGCAGUGGCCAUCAACGCUAUGGAGGAGUACAAGGUCCCACCUGUGCAUGAUCUCAGGAGGUUAAGCUUUAACAGGGAAGGGAGUUCUCAUCUCGAGUCCCACCUUUGACUCUCAGGUAGAAGCUGCCUUUGCACAAACCAGACCAACUGUUUGGUGUAAGUGGCGGCAUAUGAUGCAAACCCAGCAGGUGAAGUCGAUGUUUCUCUCCCAUUCUGAUCACUCUGGUCUCUGUAUGUGUUAAUUCUGUGUUGUUCUCACAAACAAGUUUCCAUAUAAACCAGCCGAAAGGGGAACAAAAGGCAAAGGCCAGCUGGGCGGCCUGCAUUGUUCACGGGCUUCCCAGGUGCCUUCCGUGCAGACUUAGUGGUUGGGAACUAGUCCUUCUUAGGCCCUCUGUCUGAUUUUCCUUUGGCUGGCUCUGAUUUCUUUACCUCCUGAACACCUGGGGCCAAGGCUCCUUUUCACAGCAGUUUGAAAGCCAUCCUUUCUUUUUGCUCUUUACUCAGUUCGGUCCAGCUCUUAAUCUUUGAACAGCAUCAAAUAUUCAUUGCUGUUUGACAAAGCUGGGGCUGGAGGGUCCAGCGUUUUCUAAAACAGAUCUUGCUUUACCAUUGGUGAUCCAGUGAGCCUUUCAGCAAGGCUGACUGUAAAUCAUCCAGGCUCAAUUAGUGUAUUUCAAAGAAAUACCCAGGUGUUGUUUGACCUUCAAACAUAUGGACUGCUGGAAUAAAUGAAAGUCUCGCCUGUUCCCAUCGUGCCGAGGGAACUAGAUGGGAAAAUGGGAGCAGUGUUUCAUGAAAUACAAGUGAUCUCAUAGAUUGUUAUAAGAACUUAUGAUAAAUGCUUCCUACGGUGCCUGUCCCAGAGUUAUAUAUACUUUGCCACAAAAAACAAGACAAGAAAAGAAAGGAAAGAGAACACUAGUAUAAUUGCCACACUGGACCAGGAAAAGAUGACUGCCAGCAGCCCAUGAGCUCCUACCUAUCACAACUCCCCAGGCUUCCCUGGAGAAUCAGGGUCUUUUCCAAUGAGUCAACUCUUCGAAUGAGGUGGCCAAAGUAUUGGAGUUUCAGCCUCAGUCAGCAUCAGUCCUUCCAGUGAACACCCAGGACCGGUCUCCUUUAGGAUGGAAUGAUUGGAUCUCCCUGCAGUCCAAGGGACUCUCGAGAGCCUUCUCCAGCAUCACAGCUAAAAAGCAUCAAUUCUUUGGCGCUCAGCUUUCGUCACAGUCCAACUCUCACAUCCAUACAUGACCAGUGGAAAAACCAUAGACUUGACUAGACGGACCUCUGUUGGCAAAGGAAUGUCUCUGCUUUUGAAUAUGCUAUCUAGGUUGGUCAUCUGAGUUAAAUUCACCCAUUCCAGUCCAUUUCAGUUCGCUGAUUCCUAGAAUGUCAACAUUCACUCUUGCCAUCUCUUGUUUGACCACUUCCAAUUUGCCUUGAUUCAUGGACCUGACAUUCCAGGUUCCUAUGCAAUAUUGCUCUUUACAGCAUUGGACCUUGCUUCUAUCUCCAGUCACAUCCACAGC